Long non-coding RNA from Beta vulgaris subsp. vulgaris (sugar beet), 856 nucleotides. RefSeq lists it as uncharacterized. The transcript is spliced from 2 exons. NCBI's taxonomy places the organism in Eukaryota, Viridiplantae, Streptophyta, Magnoliopsida, Caryophyllales, Amaranthaceae. The record is from RefSeq and is a predicted model, not a curated record.
UGAGUUUAUGAACAAGACUUGAAAUUCGUAGAAAUCACAGGUCAGUUUCGUAUUUCAUGUUUUUCAACAGUUUCCGGGCGUUUUUCGCAAAAAUACUAUUUCACAGAAGUUGUUUAUUCGAAAUUCUACUCAAGUUAGGCUCAAGAAACGCUUGAUUCGGAGUUCGAAUGAGGAAGUUAUGCCCAUUUUAAUUUUCUGCUGAAAUUAAUAAAUCUAGUUUCGAGUGUUUUAAGUUUGAAUGUUUUUCCUAAUGGAUUUUAAGUAUCUAAAUAUAUAUUAUGAAGUUUAGGUGUUGUUUUAUAUAAACUAAGAGAGAUUUUAGUAUUGUUAGUAUGAGUUAGUUAUGUCAUUUGAAGUGAGGCUCAUAAUUUAUAAAACUAGAGUUAAGCAAAGCUCAUUAACUAGUUAAGCCAAGUCUAUUAUUACUUAAUGAGUACAUAUAUGUUUAUAUUGUAGAUUCCGGUUUCAUUGAGGAGCCGUAUUGACUGCUUGACAUAGUUGAUUUGCUGUAUUUUAAAAGGUACAUGAAGAUUUGCAAGUGGGGUGUGGGCUGAGAGCAACGUUCCACUAGCUUAGUUGAAAUAUAGUAGUUUUUAUUUCCGCGCUGCACUAUAAAUAUAUAUCAUAAUUUUGGAACUUAAGGUUGUAAAUAUUAAUUUACUUAAACCUUUACACGUUUGGAUUGUAAUAGUUUAAUUUAGUUGUUGCUUUAACAUUAAUUCAGUUAGGUAGUUAUCCUUAACGGUUGUUCCUGUAAUAACCGUGGAAUAACACUUUUGGAUUUCGGGUACUUAUGCAUGGAUGUAUUGAUUUUUGACCGGGAUAAGGAUUUUGGAGAUCUUGGUUUGCUGGAUUA